UACCAGACUCCUACGGGAGGCAGCAGUGGGGGAUAUUGCACAAUGGGGGGAACCCUGAUGCAGCGACGCCGCGUGGGUGAAGAAGUAUUUCGGUAUGUAAAGCCCUAUCGGCAGGGAAGAAAUUGGACGGUACCUGACUAAGAAGCCCCGGCUAACUACGUGCCAGCAGCCGCGGUAAUACGUAGGGGGCAAGCGUUAUCCGGAAUUACUGGGUGUAAAGGGAGCGUAGACGGUGAUGCAAGUCUGGAGUGAAAGGCGGGGGCCCAACCCCCGGACUGCUCUGGAAACUGUAUGACUUGAGUGCAGGAGAGGUAAGCGGAAUUCCUAGUGUAGCGGUGAAAUGCGUAGAUAUUAGGAGGAACACCAGUGGCGAAGGCGGCUUACUGGACUGUAACUGACGUUGAGGCUCGAAAGCGUGGGGAGCAAACAGGAUUAGAUACCCCCGUA
Molecule: ribosomal RNA, 447 nt
Filed under: uncultured bacterium
Lineage: Bacteria
Description: bacterial SSU rRNA
Rfam family: Bacterial small subunit ribosomal RNA
Source: RNAcentral